RNAcentral lists this long non-coding RNA (244 nucleotides) under Homo sapiens (human). RNAcentral's name for it is "HSALNT0160294". The record is from RNAcentral. Lineage: Eukaryota; Metazoa; Chordata; Mammalia; Primates; Hominidae.
GUAUCAUCUGCUUCACGUCCCGCAUUUACUUAACGCGACCAGGCCUUCUUUUUCUUGAAGUGCUCUUUGAGCCUAUGUGGUUCCAGCAUGAGUCUCCUUGGGGGAUAUGUUAGGGGAUGCUGUCAGAACAACUACUUCUUGAGAAGUCCAAGGAACCGGCAGAAACCUUUACCAAAAAGAUGAUCAACUCAGAUACUGCUGCAGUGCAAAAGGACAGGCAAGGAGAAAGUGUGAGUUACAUACA